Molecule: small RNA, 28 nt
Filed under: Bombyx mori (domestic silkworm)
Lineage: Eukaryota; Metazoa; Arthropoda; Insecta; Lepidoptera; Bombycidae
Description: ovarian small RNA-26824
Source: RNAcentral
UCCAGGAGAGUUACCGCGGACCGUUAGU